This 76-nucleotide transfer RNA is filed under the name Candidatus Kaiserbacteria bacterium CG10_big_fil_rev_8_21_14_0_10_45_20. RNAcentral describes it as "tRNA-Val". It matches the Rfam family "tRNA". From Rfam's summary of the family: Transfer RNA (tRNA) molecules are approximately 80 nucleotides in length. Their secondary structure includes four short double-helical elements and three loops (D, anti-codon, and T loops). Lineage: Bacteria; Candidatus Kaiseribacteriota. The record is from RNAcentral.
GCGCGGCUAGCUCAAUUGGUAGAGCGCCACAUUGACGUUGUGGAUGUUAUAGGUUCAAGUCCUAUGUCGCGCACCA